UACGAAGGGGGCUAGCGUUGCUCGGAAUCACUGGGCGUAAAGCGCACGUAGGCGGCUUGUUAAGUCAGGGGUGAAAUCCUGGAGCUCAACUCCAGAACUGCCUUUGAUACUGAGGAUCUUGAGUCCGGGAGAGGUGAGUGGAACUGCGAGUGUAGAGGUGAAAUUCGUAGAUAUUCGCAAGAACACCAGUGGCGAAGGCGGCUCACUGGCCCGGUACUGACGCUGAGGCACGAAAGCGUGGGGAGCAAACAGG
Molecule: ribosomal RNA, 253 nt
Filed under: uncultured bacterium
Lineage: Bacteria
Description: partial 16S ribosomal RNA
Rfam family: Bacterial small subunit ribosomal RNA
Source: RNAcentral